RNAcentral lists this ribosomal RNA (253 nucleotides) under uncultured bacterium. Its description in RNAcentral is "partial 16S ribosomal RNA". It matches the Rfam family "Bacterial small subunit ribosomal RNA", at positions 524 to 776 of the family's 1533-position model. The record is from RNAcentral.
UACAGGGGGCGCGAGCGUUGCUCGGAAUCACUGGGCGUAAAGCGUACGCAGGCGGACCGUUAAGUCGGGUGUGAAAUCCCAGGGCUCAACCCUGGACGUGCAUUCGAUACUGGCGGUCUCGAGUACGGGAGAGGUGAGUGGAAUUCCUGGUGUAGAGGUGAAAUUCGUAGAUAUCAGGAGGAACACCGGUGGCGAAGGCGCCUAUCUGGCCCGAUACUGACGCUGAGGCGCGAAAGCUAGGGGAGCAAACGGG